Plasmopara halstedii is the source of this 47-nucleotide non-coding RNA. The record is from Rfam. NCBI's taxonomy places the organism in Eukaryota, Oomycota, Peronosporomycetes, Peronosporales, Peronosporaceae.
ACAUUGGCUCCUUUAGGAGCCAACACAUUGAGUUUUCAAUAUGAAUU